UGGGGAAUAUUGCACAAUGGACGGAAGUCUGAUGCAGCAACGCCGCGUGCGGGAUGACGGCCUUCGGGUUGUAAACCGCUUUUUCUCAUGACGAAGUUUUUUGACGGUAGUGGGGGAAGAAGCACCGGCUAACUACGUGCCAGCAGCCGCGGUGAUACGUAGGGUGCGAGCGUUGUCCGGAAUUAUUGGGCGUAAAGAGCUUGUAGGCGGUUUGUCGCGUCGAUAGUGCAAACUCAGUGCUUAACGCUGAGCCUGCUGUUGAUACGGGCAGACUAGAGGAAGGUAGGGGAGAAUAGAAUUCCCGGUGGAGCGGUGGAAUGCGCAGAUAUCGGGAGGAACACCGGUGGCGAAGGCGGUUCUCUGGGCCUUUCCUGACGCUGAGAAGCGAAAGCGUGGGGAGCGAACAGG
Molecule: ribosomal RNA, 408 nt
Filed under: Fusobacteriota bacterium
Lineage: Bacteria; Fusobacteriati; Fusobacteriota
Description: Fusobacteria bacterium partial 16S ribosomal RNA
Rfam family: Bacterial small subunit ribosomal RNA
Source: RNAcentral